GACCUCGAAGGAGUUGAAUGAGAUGAACAUGAACCUCGUGAAUGACCUCUACAAGCUGAUCAAGAAGUACCUCGCGCUCAGAAACAUUGUCCGUAGCUUGAGGACUGAGUUUAAGGACAGUAAAAUCUACCCUAUUCUGCCAAGGUAUUUUCUGCUGAAGGAUAUGGUGAAAGAUGCCACCCACCAUCCAGAUUACAAGGAGGUUUACCAUGAGUCUACAAUUCUUAAAGAUUAAUCUGAAAAUGAUGUUCUCAAGAUCAACUCAACUGUACACUGUUUAGUGUACUGUAUGCCGUACACUUGCUUCAAGAACAGGUUUUCUCAACAAAAGAUGGAGAAUAGUAACAGCCAGGGUUGUGUCAGCUGUAUAUCUCAACCUUCUUGAUUACAAAAUCCUAGAUAAUAAUAGCAUAAAAAAAAAAUUUGAGUUUUAGAAAAAUACCCGAUUUAUAAUUUUAAAGAUAUUUGCUUUUUCAUAAUUAAUUUGUUUAAUAUUGAUUAACAAAAUGCUGCCAGAUUAAGAUUAAAAAUGGUACCUAUCUCCCUUUGCUCUCAAUUCACUUUGAGCUGAGUGAGAUAAAAGUGCAGAUAAAUUCCCAUUACUCUUUAUGGCAUCCCUCUAACUAUCUUAAAUAAAUCCAUUAACCCCCCCCCCCCGGAAAAAAAUGUACAAUUGUUUAUUUUUAUAAAUAGUGAAGGGAGGAUGUGAUUGUUUUCAACCAAGACCUUGUAUCCCUCUCUUCUACAUGAAUUAAAUAUUUGAACCUUUCGUGAGAGACAUUUACCAGUGGAUAUCAAUCUGUCGUAAACAUAGAACUAAUUUUCAAUAUAUCUUUGGAACCCGAUUACGGGGAUUAGAUUGCCACAAAGUUUUAUUUUCUAUUCCCAAUAUAUUUGCAACCCGAUGUCGUAGACCUUUGAUA
Molecule: long non-coding RNA, 923 nt
Organism: Eurytemora carolleeae
Lineage: Eukaryota; Metazoa; Arthropoda; Copepoda; Calanoida; Temoridae
Exons: 4
Source: RefSeq, a predicted model, not a curated record